GGCUGGUUCCGGGUUGAGAGGCUGCGCUGGACCGAAGCGGUGGCUGCUAAGCCCGCGCGGCCUCAAGGACGAGCUGCUGUGCUCCAUCUGCCUGAGCAUCUACCAGGACCCGGUGAGCCUGGGCUGCGAGCACUACUUCUGCCGCCGCUGCAUCACCGAGCACUGGGUGCGGCAGGAGGCGCAGGGCGCCCGCGACUGCCCCGAGUGCCGGCGCACGUUCGCCGAGCCCGCGCUGGCGCCCAGCCUCAAGCUGGCCAACAUCGUGGAGCGCUACAGCGCCUUCCCGCUGGACGCCAUCCUCAACGCGCGCCGCGCCGCGCGACCCUGCCAGGCGCACGACAAGGUCAAGCUCUUCUGCCUCACGGACCGCGCGCUGCUCUGCUUCUUCUGCGACGAGCCUGCGCUGCACGAGCAGCAUCAGGUCACCGGUAUCGACGACGCCUUCGACGAGCUGCAGAGGGAGCUGAAGGAGCAACUUCAGGCCCUUCAAGACAGCGAGCGGGAGCACACCGAAGCGCUGCAGCUGCUCAAGCGACAACUGGCGGAGACCAAGUCUUCCACCAAGAGCCUGCGGACCACUAUUGGUGAGGCCUUCGAGCGGCUACACCGGUUGCUGCGCGAGCGCCAGAAGGCCAUGCUAGAGGAGCUGGAGGCAGACACAGCCCGCACGCUGACCGACAUCGAGCAGAAAGUCCAGCGCUACAGCCAGCAGCUGCGCAAGGUGCAGGAGGGAGCCCAGAUCCUGCAGGAGCGGCUGGCCGAAACCGACCGGCACACCUUCCUGGCUGGGGUGGCCUCACUGUCCG
This 806-nucleotide small RNA is filed under the name Pongo abelii (Sumatran orangutan). Its description in RNAcentral is "processed transcript". The record is from RNAcentral. Lineage: Eukaryota; Metazoa; Chordata; Mammalia; Primates; Hominidae.